UUACCAACAACAACAACAAACCCAGUGUAUUCCCACCUAGUGGGGUCUGGGGGGGUAAGAUGUACGCAGUCCAUACCUCUACCUCCAAAGAAGUAGAAAGGCUAUUUCCGAUAGACCCCCGGCUCAAGUCACGAGAUACCACACAAACUCAUAGUAAAGCACAGAACUAGAUUACAUAACAUACAUACUGCACCCAUAAGUAUUAGAAAACAGAGGAAAGCACACAGAUUCGUAAUAAAACAUGGAACACGGAAUCAUAACAAGAAUAAAACCCCCACCAAGUAAUUCCC
This 290-nucleotide long non-coding RNA is filed under the name Capsicum annuum. RNAcentral's name for it is "long non-coding RNA (CANN_LNC007223)". Lineage: Eukaryota; Viridiplantae; Streptophyta; Magnoliopsida; Solanales; Solanaceae. The record is from RNAcentral.